Molecule: ribosomal RNA, 492 nt
Filed under: uncultured bacterium
Lineage: Bacteria
Description: partial 16S ribosomal RNA
Rfam family: Bacterial small subunit ribosomal RNA
Source: RNAcentral
AUUGAACGCUGGCGGCAUGCUUUACACAUGCAAGUCGAACGGUAACAGGCCUUCGGGUGCUGACGAGUGGCGAACGGGUGAGUAAUGCAUCGGAACGUGCCCAGAGGUAGGGGAUAACGCAGCGAAAGCUGUGCUAAUACCGCAUGUGAUCUGAGGAUGAAAGCGGGGGACCAGGCAGCAAUGUUAGGCCUCGCGCCUUUGGAGCGGCCGAUGUCAGAUUAGGUAGUUGGUGGGGUAAAGGCCUACCAAGCCGACGAUCUGUAGCUGGUCUGAGAGGACGACCAGCCACACCGGGACUGAGACACGGCCCAGACUCCUACGGGAGGCAGCAGUGGGGAAUUUUGGACAAUGGGCGCAAGCCUGAUCCAGCAAUGCCGCGUGCGGGAAGGAGGCCUUCGGGUUGUAAACCGCUUUUGUACGGAACGAAAAGGCUCUGGCUAAUACCUGGGGCUGAUGACGGUACCGGAAGAAUAAGCACCGGCUAACUACGUG